Molecule: non-coding RNA, 497 nt
Organism: Cricetulus griseus (Chinese hamster)
Lineage: Eukaryota; Metazoa; Chordata; Mammalia; Rodentia; Cricetidae
Source: RefSeq, a predicted model, not a curated record
GUUAUACGGCUUGUCCUCUUUUCAGAUGGGUUACUUACGAAUAUGGCAACUACAGAGGCCGACAGUUCCUACUGUCUCCCGCAGAAGUGCCAAAUUGGUAUGAGUUCAGUGGCUGUCGCCAAAUAGGUUCUCUCCGGCCCUUUGCUCAGAAACGAAUUUAUUUCAGACUUCGAAACAAAGCAACAGGACUGUUUAUGUCAACCAAUGGGAACUUAGAGGAUCUGAAGCUUCUUAGGAUCCAGGUCAUGGAAGACGUUGGUGCUGACGAUCAGAUCUGGGUCUACCAAGAAGGAUGCAUCAAAUGCAGGAUAGCAGAAGAUUGCUGCCUGACGAUCGUGGGUAGCCUCGUAACGUCUGGCUCUAAACUAGGACUAGCCCUUGAUCAAAAUGUCGACAGUCAGUUCUGGUGCAUGAAGUCUGAUGGCAGGAUCUACAGCAAGUUGAAGCCAAAUUUAGUCUUGGAUGUGAAAGGUAAGCACCAUUUGUUUCCCUGUGGU